CUUACCUUAAUAAUAAGAGUGACGGGCGAUGUGUGCAUAUUUUAAAACUAAAAUCAAAACUAUAAUCUUUUAAUUUUUACUAUCAAAUCCACCUUCAUUAAAAUAUUUAAAAAUUAAAUCCGUUUAAAUAAAUUUAUUGUAACCCAUCUCUUCUUAAAUAUAAGCUACACCUUGAUCUGAUAUAAAUUUUAAUUGAAAUUAUUGAAAAUUAUUAUUCUAAUAAAAUAUUCUGAUAACGACGGUAUAUAAACUGAAAAACAAAUUUAAGUGAGGUACAUCGUGGAUUAUCAAUUACAGGACAGGUUCCUCUGAAUAGAAUAAAAUACCGCCAAAUUUUUUAAGUUUCAAGAACAUAACUAAUACUACUUUAAUGUUUACUUUUACAUUUUAAAUAAUA
This 397-nucleotide ribosomal RNA is filed under the name Ceratitis ditissima. Its description in RNAcentral is "partial 12S ribosomal RNA". Lineage: Eukaryota; Metazoa; Arthropoda; Insecta; Diptera; Tephritidae. The record is from RNAcentral.